UACGUAGGGUGCAAGCGUUAUCCGGAAUCACUGGGCGUAAAGCGUGUGUAGGCGGAAGUUUAAGUGAAAUGCGAAAUCUCGUGGCUCAACCAUGUAGACUGUAUUUCAUACUGGGCUUCUAGAGGAUGGCAGAGGCAAGUGGAAUUGGUAGUGUAGCAGUGAAAUGCGUAGAUAUUACCAGGAACACCAAUGGCGAAGGCAGCUUGCUGGGCCAUUUCUGACGCUGAGACACGAAAGCGUGGGGAGCGAACAGG
RNAcentral lists this ribosomal RNA (254 nucleotides) under uncultured bacterium. Its description in RNAcentral is "partial 16S ribosomal RNA". It matches the Rfam family "Bacterial small subunit ribosomal RNA", at positions 524 to 776 of the family's 1533-position model. The record is from RNAcentral.